This 1344-nucleotide ribosomal RNA is filed under the name uncultured bacterium. RNAcentral's name for it is "16S ribosomal RNA". It matches the Rfam family "Bacterial small subunit ribosomal RNA", at positions 28 to 1378 of the family's 1533-position model. The record is from RNAcentral.
GACGAACGCUGGCGGCGUGCUUAACACAUGCAAGUCGAACGGAAAGGCCCUGCUUUUGUGGGGUGCUCGAGUGGCGAACGGGUGAGUAACACGUGAGUAACCUGCCCUUGACUUUGGGAUAACUUCAGGAAACUGGGGCUAAUACCGGAUAGGAGCUCCUGCUGCAUGGUGGGGGUUGGAAAGUUUCGGCGGUUGGGGAUGGACUCGCGGCUUAUCAGCUUGUUGGUGGGGUAGUGGCUUACCAAGGCUUUGACGGGUAGCCGGCCUGAGAGGGUGACCGGCCACAUUGGGACUGAGAUACGGCCCAGACUCCUACGGGAGGCAGCAGUGGGGAAUAUUGCACAAUGGGCGGAAGCCUGAUGCAGCAACGCCGCGUGCGGGAUGACGGCCUUCGGGUUGUAAACCGCUUUCGCCUGUGACGAAGCGUGAGUGACGGUAAUGGGUAAAGAAGCACCGGCUAACUACGUGCCAGCAGCCGCGGUGAUACGUAGGGUGCGAGCGUUGUCCGGAUUUAUUGGGCGUAAAGGGCUCGUAGGUGGUUGAUCGCGUCGGAAGUGUAAUCUUGGGGCUUAACCCUGAGCGUGCUUUCGAUACGGGUUGACUUGAGGAAGGUAGGGGAGAAAUGGAAUUCCUGGUGGAGCGGUGGAAUGCGCAGAUAUCAGGAGGAACACCAGUGGCGAAGGCGGUUCUCUGGGCCUUUCCUGACGCUGAGGAGCGAAAGCGUGGGGAGCGAACAGGCUUAGAUACCCUGGUAGUCCACGCUGUAAACGGUGGGUACUAGGUGUGGGGUCCAUUCCACGGGUUCCGCGCCGUAGCUAACGCUUUAAGUACCCCGCCUGGGGAGUACGGCCGCAAGGCUAAAACUCAAAGGAAUUGACGGGGCCCCGCACAAGCGGCGGAGCAUGCGGAUUAAUUCGAUGCAACGCGUAGAACCUUACCUGGGUUUGACAUGGAUCGGGAGUGCUCAGAGAUGGGUGUGCCUCUUUUGGGGUCGGUUCACAGGUGGUGCAUGGCUGUCGUCAGCUCGUGUCGUGAGAUGUUGGGUUAAGUCCCGCAACGAGCGCAACCCUUGUUCACUGUUGCCAGCACGUUAUGGUGGGGACUCAGUGGAGACCGCCGGGGUCAACUCGGAGGAAGGUGGGGAUGACGUCAAGUCAUCAUGCCCCUUAUGUCCAGGGCUUCACGCAUGCUACAAUGGCUGGUACAGAGAGUGGCGAGCCUGUGAGGGUGAGCGAAUCUCGGAAAGCCGGUCUCAGUUCGGAUUGGGGUCUGCAACUCGACCUCAUGAAGUCGGAGUCGCUAGUAAUCGCAGAUCAGCAACGCUGCGGUGAAUACGUUCCCGGG